RNAcentral lists this ribosomal RNA (379 nucleotides) under uncultured cyanobacterium. RNAcentral's name for it is "bacterial SSU rRNA". It matches the Rfam family "Bacterial small subunit ribosomal RNA", at positions 376 to 770 of the family's 1533-position model. Lineage: Bacteria; Bacillati; Cyanobacteriota. The record is from RNAcentral.
CGAAAGCCUGACGGAGCAACGCCGCGUGAGGGAUGAAGGCCUCUGGGCUGUAAACCUCUUUUCUCAAGGAAGAAGAUCUGACGGUACUUGAGGAAUAAGCCACGGCUAAUUCCGUGCCAGCAGCCGCGGUAAUACGGGAGUGGCAAGCGUUAUCCGGAAUCAUUGGGCGUAAAGCGUCCGCAGGCGGCCCUGAAAGUCUGUCGUUAAAGCGUGGAGCUUAACUCCAUUUCAGCGAUGGAAACUACAAGGCUUGAGUGUGGUAGGGGCAGAGGGAAUUCCCGGUGUAGCGGUGAAAUGCGUAGAUAUCGGGAAGAACACCAGUGGCGAAGGCGCUCUGCUGGGCCAUAACUGACGCUCAUGGACGAAAGCCAGGGGAGCG